This 333-nucleotide ribosomal RNA is filed under the name Zelentia ninel. RNAcentral's name for it is "eukaryotic LSU rRNA". It matches the Rfam family "Eukaryotic large subunit ribosomal RNA", at positions 42 to 365 of the family's 3401-position model. Lineage: Eukaryota; Metazoa; Mollusca; Gastropoda; Nudibranchia; Trinchesiidae. The record is from RNAcentral.
AUAACUAAGCGGAGGAAAAGAAACCAACCGGGAUUUCCCCAGUAACGGCGAGUGAAGCGGAAUGAGCCCAGCGCCGAAUCCGCCGCGGCUAUUAGCCCGGCCGGAACUGUGGCGUGAGGGACGUGGCCAGUCGGCAGGAAGAAUGUCCGAGUCCCCCCGAGCGGGGCCCCUCCCAUAGCGGGUGCCAGGCCUCUGCAGACAUUCAUCCGGUCGGCCGCUGCCGUCCCCGGAGUCGGGUUGUUUGGGAAUGCAGCCCGAAGCGGGUGGUAAACUCCACCUAAGGCUAAAUACCGGCGCGAGUCCGAUAGCGGACAAGUACCGCGAGGGAAAGUU